This is a long non-coding RNA of Limanda limanda (common dab), 348 nucleotides long. RefSeq lists it as uncharacterized. The record is from RefSeq and is a predicted model, not a curated record. The transcript has 3 exons. Lineage: Eukaryota; Metazoa; Chordata; Actinopteri; Pleuronectiformes; Pleuronectidae.
UGUGUGUGUCAAUUUACACAGGAACAACCCGAGUUGCCCCAAGAGGACUUGGCAGCAAAUGAAAAUGAAGUACAAAAAUAUAGUUCAAACAGCAAAUCGAAAAAAAGCAGAGGCCCGGAAGACUGGAGGGGGUCCACCACCUGCAGCCCUCACAGAGGCUGAGGAGAUGGCCCUCAGCCAACAGAGUAUGCGUCCUGUGGCUGAGGGCAUCCCUGGAGGGAGCUCCUCUGAUCCCCCCACCCCCCAGGAUAGAAGUGCCUUUAUCAGAGUUACUGAUGGCGUCAUCGCCCUACUGGAACCAGAUGCCCUCACCAACCUCCAUGCAAUUGUAACAAUUCUUCACCUUCC